AACGUAGGACGCAAGCGUUAUCCGGAGUUACUGGGCGUAAAGCGCGGGCAGGCGGUCUUGCCAGUCUGAUGUGAAAUCUCUCAGCUCAACUGGGAGCAGCCAUUGGAAACUACAAGACUGGAGUCUGACAGAGGUAGGCGGAAUUCCGGGUGGAGUGGUGAGAUGCGUAGAGAUCCGGAGGAACACCAGAGGCGAAGGCGGCCUACUGGGUCAGUACUGACGCUGAGCCGCGAAAGCUAGGGGAGCAAACAGG
This 253-nucleotide ribosomal RNA is filed under the name uncultured bacterium. Its description in RNAcentral is "partial 16S ribosomal RNA". It matches the Rfam family "Bacterial small subunit ribosomal RNA", at positions 524 to 776 of the family's 1533-position model. The record is from RNAcentral.